Long non-coding RNA from Lepisosteus oculatus (spotted gar), 1577 nucleotides. The record is from Ensembl. Lineage: Eukaryota; Metazoa; Chordata; Actinopteri; Semionotiformes; Lepisosteidae.
GAGGAGCCUGCUUUUCUAUUGACAAUACUUUCUCAGACUACUAGCAGUUCAGAAAGAGAAAGUAUUUUAGUCACAUUUGUUAAAAUAAAUUAAUCACGUAAAUUUGUUUUAAAAUAAAUUCUGGAAAAGGAUGCAAACCAAAAGCAAAGAAAAUCUGAAAAAUGGGAUCAAACAAUCAUAUUUUAAAAAUGCAGAUUUUGUAAAACUGUCCCCCACCCCCUACCUGUGAACGUGAAUAAGUUUCAGUUUCAGUUUUUACAGUCCUAACGGAGCACAAACAACACACUUGUUUUGCCGUUAGUUAAAACAGCUUUGUAUUCAUUACAGCAUAAUUUAAAGAAGACAUUAAUUGAGGAACCCAGGAGAAUAUCGAGUUAACAUGAAUGAUCAGAUCCUACUCGAGAUCCUAAUCCCCGUCAUAGGCGGUGCUGUAAUUCAGAUUCUGUUAUUGGUUUACUGGUUCUGUUGUUGGAGGAAAAGUGAAGGAAAAGAUGUUUCACUUAAAAUUCACGUGCUGGUUGCUGGAAAAACUAAUGGUGUUCAAGCCAUAUUCCUAGGAAAACUUCAACAGCGUAUUAGGUUUGAAGUCUGUACAGAAGACUAUCACGUGACUUUAGCUUUCUGCCCUGUCAGCUCCCGAAUUGGGACUGAUAUGGAUGAAGCAAUCAAGAAGAUACCAGGUGACAGGCCUGCUAUUCUGGUUAUGAUGCACCACACUCCCUAUCAUGAUUUGGUUUUGGCCUCAAGUAGCAGACUGGUGAACAAGAGCAACAUAUUAGGAACUACUGACUGUUUGUUCCAUGAGGAAUUGUUCCACAAUUGUGAAAUUAAUAGAAAGGCUUUGAAUUUUGUUUACACCAAGUUACGACACGUAGUUAAAUAGUAAAAGAAUGUGAGAUGUGGACUCCCACAACACAGGCUACAGCACAUGUGUGUAUUUUAAUUUUUAGUUUGUGUUGCUACUUUACAUGCUUGCAAGAUGAGUAAUUGGCACAGUGCUGUUCUGUUCAACAAUAUCCUAAGUUCUGAUGCAGCAUAUUCUAUAAUUCCCUUAACUUGUAUAAUAAAUGCAAUGUUUAGUAAGAACCAAUAUCUGUAGUGUUGCCUCAUCUUGUCUCAUCUCAUCUCAUCUCUUUUUUAACCACUUACUCCUGGUGAGAGUUGCAAUGGUAACAGGCUGUGAAGGGCAGACCAGACUUCCCUAGCAACAGUCUACAGCCCCUCCUGGGGGAUUCCCAAGCACCCUCUGGCUAGCUGAGAGAUGUGAUCCUUACAAUCUGUCAUUCUCAUUCUUUCAGUCACUAGUCAAAGCUCAUGGUGAUGAUGGUGGUGAUGUAAAUCAAUUAGGAAACUGAAAGCUUUGUCUGAAACCUCAGAUACUGCGUUACUACCACGGUUCAGUAUAUUGUCUGCAUUACUGCAGCUGUUGCACCAAACCACUGGUCAAUCUUCCGUUCCCCUUUAUCCCCUAAUGGAUAAGUCCCUGAGGUACUUAAAUUCCACUACUUGAGGUAGCUGUGCCCCCCUCACAUGGUGUGGGGCACAAAAUGGGGACCACCAUCCUAAUAUGCCCAUUC